Molecule: RNase P RNA, 408 nt
Filed under: marine eukaryotic metagenome
Description: Bacterial RNase P class A
Rfam family: Bacterial RNase P class A
About the family: Ribonuclease P (RNase P) is a ubiquitous endoribonuclease, found in archaea, bacteria and eukarya as well as chloroplasts and mitochondria. Its best characterised activity is the generation of mature 5'-ends of tRNAs by cleaving the 5'-leader elements of precursor-tRNAs. Cellular RNase Ps are ribonucleoproteins.
Source: RNAcentral
CUGGUGGGGUACCCCCAGCCCGGCUCCCACGGGAGGAAAGUCCGAGCACCUUAGGGCAGUGUGCCGGGUAACGCCCGGUCAGGGAGACCUGGAGGCAAGUGCAACAGAGAGCAAACCGCCACGCAAGCGUCCGUUGAUCGCGCCUUCGGGUGAGUCGCGGGGAGUCGGUAUUCCGGCUUCGGUAAGGUUGAAAGGGUGCGGUAAGAGCGCACCGGCGGCCCGGGAGACCGGGUCGGCCAGGCAAACCCCACGCAGGUGCAAGGUCGAUUGGUGGACAUCAUGGGGGCGGCCCGUCCUCGUCCACGGGUGUACCGCUCGAGCCGGUUGGUAACGGCCGGCCUAGACGAAUGAUCAUCACUGGGAGGAGGGUGACCAAAUCCCGGAACAGAACUCGGCUUACGGGCCACA